This 253-nucleotide ribosomal RNA is filed under the name uncultured bacterium. RNAcentral's name for it is "partial 16S ribosomal RNA". It matches the Rfam family "Bacterial small subunit ribosomal RNA", at positions 524 to 776 of the family's 1533-position model. The record is from RNAcentral.
UACGAAGGUGGCAAGCGUUGUUCGGAUUUACUGGGCGUAAAGGGAGCGUAGGUGGUUAGGUAAGCCCUCCGGGAAAUCUUCAGGCUUAACCUGAAAAGGUCGGGGGGGACUGCCUGGCUAGAGGACGGGAGAGGAGCGCGGAAUUCCCGGUGUAGCGGUGAAAUGCGCAGAUAUCAGGAGGAACACCGGUGGCGAAGGCGGGUCUCUGGGCCGAAACUGACGCUGAGGAGCGAAAGCGUGGGGAGCAAACAGG